UAGAUCUUGCUACCCUGAUGAUCUUUGGGAC
RNAcentral lists this non-coding RNA (31 nucleotides) under Rattus norvegicus (Norway rat). The record is from RNAcentral. Lineage: Eukaryota; Metazoa; Chordata; Mammalia; Rodentia; Muridae.